UUCCGGUUGAUCCUGCCGGACCUGACUGCUAUCGGAUUGAUACUAAGCCAUGCGAGUCUUUGCAGUAAUGCAAGGCAUACGGCUCAGUAACACGUAGUCAACUUACCCUAUGGACGAGGAUAAUCUCGGGAAACUGAGCAUAAUACUCGAUAGAUCAUAAUGCCUGGAAUGGUUUAUGGUUGAAAUGAUUCGUCGCCAUAGGAUGGGACUGCGGCCUAUCAGCUUGUUGGUGAGGUAAUGGCCCACCAAGGCGAUUACAGGUACGGGCUCUGAGAGGAGAAGCCCGGAGAUGGGUACUGAGACACGGACCCAGGCCCUAUGGGGCGCAGCAGGCGAGAAAACUUUGCAAUGUGCGAAAGCACGACAAGGUUAAUCCGAGUGAUUUCUGCUAAAGAAAUCUUUUGCAAGUCAUAAAACCACUAGUGAAUAAGGGGUGGGCAAGUUCUGGUGUCAGCCGCCGCGGUAAAACCAGCACCUCAAGUGGUCAGGAGGAUUAUUGGGCCUAAAGCAUCCGUAGCCUGCUCUGUAAGUUUUCGGUUAAAUCUAUAUGCUCAACGUAUAGGCUGCCGAAAAUACUGCAGUGCUAGGAAGUGGGAGAGGUAGACGGUACUUGAUAGGAAGGGGUAAAAUCCUUUGAUCUAUCGAUGACCACCUGUGGCGAAGGCGGUCUACCAGAACACGUUCGACGGUGAGGGAUGAAAGCUGGGGGAGCAAACCGGAUUAGAUACCCGGGUAGUCCCAGCUGUAAACGAUGCAGACUCGAUGAUGCAUUGGCAUAUAGCCAGUGCAGUGUCGCAGGGAAGCCGUUAAGUCUGCCGCCUGGGAAGUACGUACGCAAGUAUGAAACUUAAAGGAAUUGGCGGGGGAGCACCACAAGGGGUGAAGCCUGCGGUUCAAUUGGAUUCAACGCCGGG
This 914-nucleotide ribosomal RNA is filed under the name uncultured marine archaeon. Its description in RNAcentral is "bacterial SSU rRNA". It matches the Rfam family "Archaeal small subunit ribosomal RNA", at positions 1 to 922 of the family's 1478-position model. The record is from RNAcentral.